Molecule: ribosomal RNA, 253 nt
Filed under: uncultured bacterium
Lineage: Bacteria
Description: partial 16S ribosomal RNA
Rfam family: Bacterial small subunit ribosomal RNA
Source: RNAcentral
UACGUAGGUGGCAAGCGUUGUCCGGAUUUACUGGGCGUAAAGAGCGCGCAGGCGGUCGUUCAAGUCGCGUGUGAAAGCCCCCGGCUCAACUGGGGAGGGUCACGCGAUACUGAUCGACUGGAAGGCAGGAGAGGGUAGUGGAAUUCCCGGUGUAGUGGUGAAAUGCGUAGAUAUCAGGAAGAACACCCGUGGCGAAGGCGGUUCUCUGGAACGCAACUGACGCUGAGACGCGAAAGCGUGGGGAGCAAACAGG